UUUGAUCAUGGCUCAGGAUGAACGCUAGCGGCAAGCUUAAUACAUGCAAGUCGAGGGGCAGCAGGUUUGUAGCAAUACAGAUGCUGGCGACCGGCAAACGGGUGCGGAACACGUACAGAACCUUCCUUUAAGUGGGGGAUAGCCCAGGGAAACUUGGAUUAAUACCCCGUAAUAUAUAGAAGUGGCAUCACUUUUAUAUUAUAGCUCAGGCGCUUGAAGAUGGCUGUGCGGCUGAUUAGGUAGUUGGCGGGGUAACGGCCCACCAAGCCUGCGAUCAGUAACUGGUGUGAGAGCACGACCAGUCACACGGGCACUGAGACACGGGCCCGACUCCUACGGGAGGCAGCAGUAAGGAAUAUUGGGCAAUGGACGCAAGUCUGACCCAGCUAUGCCGCGUGGAGGAUGAAGGUCCUCUGGAUUGUAAACUUCUUUUAUCUGGGAAGAAACCUAUUUUUUCUAAAAUAGCUGACGGUACCAGGUGAAUAAGCACCGGCUAACUCCGUGCCAGCAGCCGCGGUAAUACGGAGGGUGCAAGCGUUAUCCGGAUUCACUGGGUUUAAAGGGUGCGUAGGUGGGUUGGUAAGUCAGUGGUGAAAUCUCCGAGCUUAACUUGGAAACUGCCAUUGAUACUAUCAGUCUUGAAUACCGUGGAGAUGAGCGGAAUAUGUCAUGUAGCGGUGAAAUGCUUAGAUAUGACAUAGAACACCAAUUGCGAAGGCAGCUCGUUACACGAAUAUUGACACUCAGGCACGAAAGCGUGGGGAUCAAACAGGAUUAGAUACCCUGGUAGUCCACGCCCUAAACGAUGGAUACUCGACAUUUGCGAUACACAGCAAGUGUCUGAGCGAAAGCAUUAAGUAUCYCACCUGGAAGUACGAUCGCAAGAUUGAAACUCAAAGGAAUUGGCGGGGUC
This 913-nucleotide ribosomal RNA is filed under the name uncultured bacterium. Its description in RNAcentral is "bacterial SSU rRNA". It matches the Rfam family "Bacterial small subunit ribosomal RNA", at positions 12 to 920 of the family's 1533-position model. The record is from RNAcentral.